UUCAUUUGAAGCUUUGAUUCAUUCCUUUGUUUUCGCUGCAGCAAGCUUGCCCUCGGCGGCAAAUUGUUAUCUCACUUCCCUUAGGCCUCUAUGACAGUUUGGGUAGUCAAAUCAAAUCUAUAUGAUUUUAUUUAAAUACUUCUAAUAUAAAAAAGUGAUAUCUUGAUUUUAAGUUCAUUCUUCAAGAUAUUGAUUGUUAAAUGGUCGGACAUUUUUGUUUUUAGCCUUAGUUUAGUGGGAUUAAGGGGACAAAUUAACAGUCAGAUUCAUCAUGUGAAAAGAUUAUGGACUGAAAUUGUUGCCGGAUUAGUGUAGAUGCAUAGUGUGAUAAUCGUUUACCAUUUACGGUGGUUUUCGAAGUAGAAGUAUGUGCAAAUUCCAAUUAUGAAAUUCUUGCUAAAACACAUGUUGACUAUGAAUAAAGUAUGCUAUAUGUAGAGUUCAGUGUAUACCCGGAUCAAUAUUAAACCAUAAAGAUAAAAUACAUACAAGAUUUUCUAUUGAAAAUAAGCUCUUUUUUUUUAACCAAUAAAAUGCUACUUUAUAUAAAAAUCAAAACAUAUGUACAACUGUGGGGGCUAGACCUGACCUAGAAACAGAACAAACCAAACCAAAAAAAUAAACAGAUCCAUUUUCAAGCUUUACAGCCGAUAUGGCCUUAUUGUGAGCAUCCAACUCUCCCAUCUCCCCAUAAUUCUCCUUUAUUUCUAUGGGAGAUGGAAUAACUGGGUCCCCUAAAUAAACCUUGGUUGUGAAUUGUCCUAUUUUUAGCGUAAUGGAACCAAGGGGAAUUUGUUUUGGCAUAGGUUUAUUAAUCUGCCCACUAUCAUCUAGUGGUGUGUCAAUUCCUCACCUGCUAUCCAUUUGACCCCAAGAUGAUUCACUUGUGCCUCCUUAGUACCCAUCAUUUUGUCCUGGUACGAAUCCUGCAGAGGUGCAUCCAGUUUAUUCAUUUUCAUUAGAAGGUUAUCUUUUUGGAUCUGUUGAAUGGUUGACUUGUUUUUGCUAAUAACAUUUUGUACGUCAGAAUAAUGCUUAGAGUGAUGAUUUGGAUGUGUAAUGAUACCUGACUUAGCUUCCUCAGUCUCCUUCCGCAUUCUGUUCUGUAUAUCAAUUGAAGUCUUGGAUGUAAUCUGAGCUUGAAUUUGUUGAUGCGGCAAUGUUGUAUCAUAUUUGCUCUCCAUAGAAACUGCCUUUAUGUUCUCCUUGAUUGAUGGACCAAUUUGUUGUUCAUGGUUGCCUUGUGGUCCUGAUUUUCUUCUAUGUUUAACUCUGGCUGUGGAAUGCCCUGUUGAUCGUUGAAUUUAGUACCUCAAAUGAAGUUUUUUGAGUUUGCAUGACAGGAAAUCCUGCUGCUUCUUUCUGCUGGGUGUUUCCUCUGUGUUUAUCCCUGCUAACAUGCCAAAAGAGUUAUGGUCUUCUACCAGUGCUGUUUGUGUGUUGCCUACAAUCUGCAUAGAUACUUUUGAAUUUUCUUUUUGUGGUUGGUUUUCCUGCCCCCGAGUUUCCUCUCUAUUAUUUGACUGCAAACCAACUGCCUGCCAACCUUCCAACUGCUUCAAUUUUGUAUCAUCCAUAUUACUUGACUGCAGACCAACUACCUCCAUGAUUUCCUGUUCGCUCCCUUUGUUGUUAAGCUGACUUUGCCGCAGUUCUUGGUUCAGCAUCUCUCCUUGUACAUGAAAGCCGGAGUGCUUUGUUUUUGAACUAUCUCUCUGUUUCUGUCAUGGUGUUCCUUUGGCCUGCCUUCACUUCUAACCAUUGCCUUGAUGUCUGCUUUGAACUUUUCUCCAUUUUAGAAUGUUAUGAUGCCCAAGAAUCUGACUAUUAUGGCAAAAUGCAGGCCGUCUCUCAUAUAUUAAUUCUAUCAUAAAAGCAAAUGAUGUUCCGAAGAGUUGGCUAGUUGUUUUUGCUUAGGAUCUGUGGCUUCCUUUAUUAUUAACUUCAUUUAGUUAUAAUCUAUCAGUUAUCAUGUAAAUGAAGGUAAAGAGGAGAGAGAGAUAUACGUGUAGAAUGUUCCUUCUUAUUAACUUUAAUUACCAUUUGAUGAGAUGUGAUUGGCACAAUCCUGACUUCUGAGCGCCUCGAAUUUUAAAUUUUAUUUUCUGCUUGUCUGAUUUUUUUAUUUUGG
Lathyrus oleraceus (garden pea) is the source of this 2131-nucleotide long non-coding RNA. RefSeq lists it as uncharacterized. The record is from RefSeq and is a predicted model, not a curated record. The transcript is spliced from 3 exons. NCBI's taxonomy places the organism in Eukaryota, Viridiplantae, Streptophyta, Magnoliopsida, Fabales, Fabaceae.